UCUUUAUUACGGCGGUGGGUGUGUGGGGGAUCGCUCCACCUAACACACACACCAAGGGUUACUGGCGGUGUGCUUAUAUUAGUAGGACAAAUACAUAUUCAUUUCAUUUCCCGUAAGGCUCUUGCAUAUUCAUCGGGUCUCUGAAGAAUCAUUAACGUAUGUUCCCGCCCCUAUUCACAUGCAUACUGGAGUCCUUGGGUGGUCGUCGGGCGUACUCUGGUGGUCUUUUGAUGAAGGCCAGAUGUCUUCCUUGCUGCUAAACUCCUGACCCUUCCUUUAUUUGGCAGACUUCAGCAGUCAAGCCAGUUCUUGCUGGUUCCAUUAUCUAUGCAUAGAGUCUUUUACUCCCCUAUCUUUGGGGUCGUUAACAUACCAUUGUGGUAGCUAAGACCUACGGAAUCAACAUCCUUUAUCUUGUUCCCUGUCUCACUUCUUUAAAAAAGGCACGCGUCAAAUGAUUGCAAUAUGUUAAACAUAUUUUCACUCAUAAGUUCAAGCUAUUUUUAUAAAUUUAAUGAAAAUGCUGGUUUUUUAGUUAGUUUGUUUGUUUAAACGGUGAUACUGGGCUCUCACUAGUUUCAAAUCCGGCGAGCAGGGUGACUUAACUCUGUUGCCUUUGCUAGCAGCGCUCAACCAGCAGCUGCGGGCAGCGGCCGGGCCGCGCGGUUCCCGACGCAGGGGCGGGAGGUGUUCUACCGGCCUCUUCCGCCCACAUCCGCGGGAAGAUCGUAAUGCGCGCAUCUUUCAGCGGCGUCUGGGAUGGUUUGUAUGAUCGCGGCCUGAGCGUUCGUUUCAGUGACCGGUUCUGGCCACUCGGCGGCUCGUACCAGGGCACGGCCGCUGGGGCCAGUAAGGCUGCGCCGCCGCACAACUCAUUACGUCGGUGCCGGGAACUCCCGCGGGCGAGGCAGGACGCGCGUUAGGGACCGUCCCCGCCGUCCCGCGUUGAACGUUCGGGAUUGUUCUCAUAACGUCACGGCAGAGAGCUCCUGCCGGCGAGGUAGGGUCGCACACCCCGUCGGCGGCCAGUAAGCCCCGUCUCAGGCUCCUGUGGAAUCGCGCGGCAGCUCUCGCGAGGUUUGGGCGCGCUGACCGUUGUAGCUCGGAGUGGCGCCAUUUUGGGAGUAAGGUGACUGGUAAUUGGGAUUACAGAGAGAGCCCUGGAUGUUUGGCUUGUUUUGCCUUAGCUGGUAGGGAGGAAGAAUGGUGGAAAUCGACCUGCUGUAGUUGCUUUUUUUUUUUUGAAAGUGGGGAGAUAUCGGACACUGAUUGUGGAUUAUUUGUCCAAGUGUAUCCUCCUGAAAAGGCUUCUGGAACAAUCAGUAGGCAUCUGGAAAGCGAAUUGGAAGCUCGAAGUCGUGAGCUUUCUCUUUCUAGAAACACAGAGCACUUCACCCUUGGACACUUCUGUUCGCAUGUCAUGGAUACGUGGCUGAAUGUAUCAAGAAAACAAACUGGAAAAAUAUAAAUCGCGUGGUGCUAACGACACCUUGUGUCGUCCCCUUGGAUUAGGCUUGAUUUCAGCUGAAUUGCUACUGCCUCAAGGAAAAAUAAGAUGGACAGAACAACUUAAUUCAAAAGAUCGCUGAAGU
Cygnus olor (mute swan) is the source of this 1592-nucleotide long non-coding RNA. RefSeq lists it as uncharacterized. The transcript has 5 exons. Lineage: Eukaryota; Metazoa; Chordata; Aves; Anseriformes; Anatidae. The record is from RefSeq and is a predicted model, not a curated record.